UGCCAAGAAUAUUUCCUGAAUCAGUGGUUCACAAACCUCUCAUUGGGGACCCCCAGUUGUUCCAUGUAUUUGAUCAAUUCCAGAGCUAGCACACCUGAUUCAACUUGUGUACUAAUCAUCAAGUUGAAUCAGGUGAGUAUGUGAAUCAGGUGAGCUAGUUCAGGGCUACAACAACAUUGUGACAUGUCUGGGGGUCCCAGAGGAGAAGUUUGAGAACGGCUCUCCUAAAUACUCUUCAUAGGAAUCAGUUAGUAUGUGCAGUACUGAGAAGUGAUCUAGACUCAUAUCAGUGAAUAGGAGUGGAUCCUGUUUGGUACAUUAGGGUAAGAAAGGCAAAGUCUCUACUAAAGGUUUUACUCCUAAAUAUCCACGUCAACAUUUUCUCUUGACCCUCUCUUUGCAGAACACUGCGCCAUACUCACCUUUUUAGCUCUGGAAGCAAAAUGCAGAGGAUGCUUCAACAGAAACUGAGCUGCAUUCUUGCUUCUGUAAAGAGAGGGAGCCCUGCUUGCCUGUUCUGUAUCAGCAUCAGACAAGGCAGGCCUUUUGUAUGAGGAAGGGAAGUGGGGAGAGACCCCACCAAAACACAAGCCCAGCAUAGAGCCACAUUACCUGCUCCACUGGCUAAAUAGAUCAAUCCAUUUCUGCUCCCACCAUACAAUUAUGUUGUUGACAAUUACAAGUAAAAAG
RNAcentral lists this long non-coding RNA (690 nucleotides) under Oncorhynchus mykiss (rainbow trout). RNAcentral's name for it is "lncRNA (ENSOMYG00000061900.1)". Lineage: Eukaryota; Metazoa; Chordata; Actinopteri; Salmoniformes; Salmonidae. The record is from RNAcentral.